UUUAAAUAAGGAAGAGUUUGUGGUGGAUGCCUUGG
This 35-nucleotide ribosomal RNA is filed under the name Mycoplasmopsis fermentans. Its description in RNAcentral is "Mycoplasma fermentans partial 23S ribosomal RNA". Lineage: Bacteria; Bacillati; Mycoplasmatota; Mycoplasmoidales; Metamycoplasmataceae. The record is from RNAcentral.